RNAcentral lists this ribosomal RNA (488 nucleotides) under uncultured bacterium. Its description in RNAcentral is "bacterial SSU rRNA". It matches the Rfam family "Bacterial small subunit ribosomal RNA", at positions 43 to 507 of the family's 1533-position model. The record is from RNAcentral.
CGUGCCUAACACAUGCAAGUCGUACGAGAAAGCCGGCUUCGGCUGGUGAGUAAAGUGGCGCACGGGUGAGUAACGCGUGGAUAAUCUGCCCUUAAGUGUGGAAUAACGUACCGAAAGGUGCGCUAAUACCGCAUAAUGCCUGGCAACACAAGUUGUCCGGCCAAAGAAGGCCUCUGUUUACAAGCUUUCGCUUCAGGAUGAGUCCGCGUGCCAUUAGCUUGUUGGUGGGGUAAUGGCCUACCAAGGCUGCGAUGGUUAGCUGGUCUGAGAGGAUGAUCAGCCACACUGGAACUGAGACACGGUCCAGACUCCUACGGGAGGCAGCAGUGAGGAAUAUUGCGCAAUGGGGGCAACCCUGACGCAGCAACGCCGCGUGAGUGAGGAAGGUUUUCGGACUGUAAAGCUCUGUCGAGCGGGAAGAAGUGUACCAUGGCUAAUAUCCAUGAUAUUUGACGGUACCGCUAGAGGAAGCACCGGCUAACUCCGUG